GUGUCAGCAGCCGCGGUAAUACGUAGGGGGCAAGCGUUGUCCGGAAUUACUGGGCGUAAAGCGCACGCAGGCGGAUUAAAAAGUCAGCCGUAAAAUGCACGGGCUCAACCUGUGUUAGUCAGCUGAUACUAUUAGUCUAGAGUAUGUGAGAGGGAAGUGGAAUUCCCGGUGUAGCGGUGAAAUGCGUAGAUAUCGGGAGGAAUACCAGUGGCGAAGGCGGCUUCCUGGCACAAAACUGACGCUCAUGUGCGAAAGCUAGGGCAGCGAACGGGAUUAGAUACCCCGGUAGUCCUAGCCGUAAACGAUGGAUACUAGGUGUGGGUGUCGCAGGGCAUCCGUGCCGCAGUUAACGCGUUAAGUAUCCCGCCUGGGGACUACGGUCGCAAGACUGAAACUCAAAGAAAUUGGCGG
This 411-nucleotide ribosomal RNA is filed under the name uncultured bacterium. Its description in RNAcentral is "bacterial SSU rRNA". It matches the Rfam family "Bacterial small subunit ribosomal RNA", at positions 505 to 916 of the family's 1533-position model. The record is from RNAcentral.